GGCUGUGUGGUGUAGUGGUUUGAAUGUUGGAAUAUGACUCCAUGAGACCAGGGUUCAAAUCCCUGCUCAGCCA
Molecule: non-coding RNA, 73 nt
Organism: Phrynosoma platyrhinos (Desert horned lizard)
Lineage: Eukaryota; Metazoa; Chordata; Lepidosauria; Squamata; Phrynosomatidae
Source: the annotation of a GenBank genome assembly